This 468-nucleotide ribosomal RNA is filed under the name uncultured bacterium. RNAcentral describes it as "partial 16S ribosomal RNA". It matches the Rfam family "Bacterial small subunit ribosomal RNA", at positions 28 to 507 of the family's 1533-position model. The record is from RNAcentral.
GACGAACGCUGGCGGCGUGCUUAACACAUGCAAGUCGAACGGAAAGGCCCUGCUUUUGUGGGGUGCUCGAGUGGCGAACGGGUGAGUAACACGUGAGUAACCUGCCCUUGACUUUGGGAUAACUUCAGGAAACUGGGGCUAAUACCGGAUAGGAGCUCCUGCUGCAUGGUGGGGGUUGGAAAGUUUCGGCGGCUGGGGAUGGACUCGCGGCUUAUCAGCUUGUUGGUGGGGUAAUGGCUUACCAAGGCUUUGACGGGUAGCCGGCCUGAGAGGGUGACCGGCCACAUUGGGACUGAGAUACGGCCCAGACUCCUACGGGAGGCAGCAGUGGGGAAUAUUGCACAAUGGGCGGAAGCCUGAUGCAGCAACGCCGCGUGCGGGAUGACGGCCUUCGGGUUGUAAACCGCUUUCGCCUGUGACGAAGCGUGAGUGACGGUAAUGGGUAAAGAAGCACCGGCUAACUACGUG